AGGAGAAACUUGGACACAGAGACAGAUAUUCCAAGAGAGAAGGUGAAGUCACACAAGGAGAAUACUAGACAAGGAACACCAGAGGCUACCAGCAGCUAAGAGGCCUGGAACAGAUCCUGCUCCCACAACCCUGAGAAGGAGUCAACCCUGCCAAUACCUUGAUUUCAGACUUCUAACUUCCAGACUGUGAAACAACAGAUUUGGGGUAAGAAAAGCCGGAAUCUCCUUUUCAUUUGUACUUCGGGAUUUCUAACAUUUUCAUGAGGUUUUUGUAUUUCCUCGGUGAAUUACGUUAAUCAUCCUUUGCUUGUGGUGUCCCAGGGUCACCACGAGGGGAAAAUGCAACGUGAUGUGUACGGCACCAGGCACAAAAGCCGGUUGCGCGGAUGACAAACCCCAAGGAUCAGACACUUGUAUGUACGGCGGUCGGGCCCCACCCUGGAUCUUGAGGGCAGACGAGCCUCGACCGGAGUGAUCAGUGCCCGGGGGGCACCCCGAGGAGAGUGGCUAAAACUGAGAGAGCUUCCCAGAAGCAGCCUUUGAGCCAGGUACAAAGGAGGAGUUGCGGCGGAGCGGGGCCUGCCCGCUACCUACCGCGCUGCCCCCCCCACCAGCCCCGCCAGGGUUGGGGGGUGCCCCACGGAACGAAGCGGGGGGCGGGGUGGGCAGGAGCCCAAGAGCACACCGUCCGGGCCAGGAGUCAACCCAGAUGGAACUGUCUCCAAGCAGCUCUUUACGCAAGAUCGUCCAGUCCACAUCAAAGGAAGGGAGAGGCGGCGAUAGAGGUUAGAGGGAGACCAAAGCCUUCUCAAGCCAUCCGUGGCUCCGCCUCUGCACGUACCAUGCCCAGAGGAUGCCCUCGUGGGCGCUCACAGUCCCGCAAACACACAGGAUGUGGGGUCACCUGCAGCACCACCCCUCCCUGAGCACCCUCACUCAGCACCCAGCGUUCUUUGUUCACCUACACACCUCUUACCCCCCACUCCCUUUAUAUCUGCCUUUGUACCUGCACUUAGCAGUUCCCCAAAGACAGGAAUUGGGGCUCCCUCUGUCUCUCUGGGCCCUCUAUUGCCCAGCAAUGCCCAACACAUGGUGAAGCACGUGACAGUGAGUGGAAGAAAAGGGUCCUUGAAUGGUAAGUGAUGAGUGAAAGCAUUUUGUUAACCAGACAGUGCUGUGCGAAUAUGAGGGCUUUGGUCAUUAUGACAGUAAUUUAAAUCAUAGAGGUUCAGGACACGAACAUAUCUUACAGGUUAACUGAAUCCUCCCGUUAGACAGAUGAGGAAACUGAGGUCCAGAAAAGACUGCCAGAGAUCACUCAUGGAGGAUGUCCCGCUUGAACCUCAACUAAAA
Long non-coding RNA from Aethalodelphis obliquidens (Pacific white-sided dolphin), 1353 nucleotides. RefSeq lists it as uncharacterized. The record is from RefSeq and is a predicted model, not a curated record. NCBI's taxonomy places the organism in Eukaryota, Metazoa, Chordata, Mammalia, Artiodactyla, Delphinidae. The transcript has 7 exons.